GAUACGUUUAGGCUGCCUUGCGAUGCGCGUCGAACGGCCCCGCGGGAGCAAUCCUGGCGGCGAGUGGCGAACGGGUGAGUAAUACAUCGGAACGUGCCCAAUCGUGGGGGAUAACGCAGCGAAAGCUGUGCUAAUACCGCAUACGAUCUACGGAUGAAAGCAGGGGAUCGCAAGACCUUGCGCGAAUGGAGCGGCCGAUGGCAGAUUAGGUAGUUGGUGAGGUAAAGGCUCACCAAGCCUUCGAUCUGUAGCUGGUCUGAGAGGACGACCAGCCACACUGGGACUGAGACACGGCCCAGACUCCUACGGGAGGCAGCAGUGGGGAAUUUUGGACAAUGGGCGCAAGCCUGAUCCAGCCAUGCCGCGUGCAGGAUGAAGGCCUUCGGGUUGUAAACUGCUUUUGUACGGAACGAAACGGCUCUUUCUAAUAAAGAGGGCUAAUGACGGUACCGUAAGAAUAAGCACCGGCUAACUACGUGCCAGCAGCCGCGGUAAUACGUAGGGUGCGAGCGUUAAUCGGAAUUACUGGGCGUAAAGCGUGCGCAGGCGGUGAUGUAAGACAGUUGUGAAAUCCCCGGGCUCAACCUGGGAACUGCAUCUGUGACUGCAUCGCUGGAGUGCGGCAGAGGGGGAUGGAAUUCCGCGUGUAG
RNAcentral lists this ribosomal RNA (650 nucleotides) under bacterium. RNAcentral describes it as "bacterial SSU rRNA". It matches the Rfam family "Bacterial small subunit ribosomal RNA", at positions 30 to 678 of the family's 1533-position model. The record is from RNAcentral.